UCUUCGAUGGUCUAGUGGUCAUGAUUUCCGCUUGUCAUCAGCAAUGUUGCGAGCGCGGGAGACCGGGGUUCGAUUCCCCGUCGGAGAG
This is a non-coding RNA of Sporormia fimetaria CBS 119925, 88 nucleotides long. Lineage: Eukaryota; Fungi; Ascomycota; Dothideomycetes; Pleosporales; Sporormiaceae. The record is from the annotation of a GenBank genome assembly.